UUGAUGGCUCCAUCAGUACAGCAUGAGACUCUUAAUCUCAGGGUUGUGGGUUCGAGCCCCACAUUGGGCAAAA
Podarcis lilfordi (Lilford's wall lizard) is the source of this 73-nucleotide non-coding RNA. NCBI's taxonomy places the organism in Eukaryota, Metazoa, Chordata, Lepidosauria, Squamata, Lacertidae. The record is from the annotation of a GenBank genome assembly.